GCCAUUAGUUCGGGCCAGGUGAGGAUGAUGGAGAGUUCAGCUUUGUGGUUAGGGAGGCAACGAGUGGUGGAGAGCAGGUAUUGUAGUAAAAUAAAGAAGAAAUAAAACAUAAACUUAGUUGUCAGGAUAGGAUCCUAAAAGGUGGUGGAUGAUGGUGGACCAAGGGUGUGGGGAGUAUGGUAUUCACUGGGUCCGUCCAGGUCCCUGGGAUUUGACUUUGGGUCA
Molecule: non-coding RNA, 225 nt
Organism: Pelobates cultripes (western spadefoot toad)
Lineage: Eukaryota; Metazoa; Chordata; Amphibia; Anura; Pelobatidae
Source: the annotation of a GenBank genome assembly